AUUGAACGCUGGCGGCAUGCCUUACACAUGCAAGUCGAACGGCAGCACGGGAGCAAUCCUGGUGGCGAGUGGCGAACGGGUGAGUAAUAUAUCGGAACGUGCCCAGUGAUGGGGGAUAGCCCGGCGAAAGCCGGAUUAAUACCGCAUACGACCUACGGGUGAAAGCAGGGGAUCGCAAGACCUUGCGUCAUUGGAGCGGCCGAUAUCAGAUUAGCUUGNGGUGGGGUAAAAGCCUACCAAGGCGACGAUCUGUAGCUGGUCUGAGAGGACGACCAGCCACACUGGGACUGAGACACGGCCCAGACCCCUACGGGAGGCAGCAGUGGGGAA
This 330-nucleotide ribosomal RNA is filed under the name uncultured bacterium. RNAcentral's name for it is "bacterial SSU rRNA". It matches the Rfam family "Bacterial small subunit ribosomal RNA", at positions 29 to 361 of the family's 1533-position model. The record is from RNAcentral.